GCAGGCUCGCGCUUGAAUACAUUAGCAUGGAAUAAUGAAAUAGGACGUUCGAUCCUAUUUUGUUGGUUUCUAGGAUUGACGUAAUGAUUAAUAGGGAUAGUUGGGGGCAUUAGUAUUCAAUUGUCAGAGGUGAAAUUCUUGGAUUUAUUGAAGACUAACUACUGCGAAAGCAUUUGCCAAGGAUGUUUUCAUUAAUCAAGAACGAAAGUUAGGGGAUCGAAGACGAUCAGAUACCGUCGUAGUCUUAACCAUGAACUAUGCCGACUAGGGAUCGGAUGAUGUUAUUUUUAAUGACUCAUUCAGCGCCUUACGGGAAACCAAAGUGUUUGGGUUCCGGGGGGAGUAUGGUCGCAAGGCUGAAACUUAAAGGAAUUGACGGAAGGGCACCACCAGGCGUGGAGCCUGCG
RNAcentral lists this ribosomal RNA (407 nucleotides) under uncultured Glomus. RNAcentral describes it as "SSU rRNA". It matches the Rfam family "Eukaryotic small subunit ribosomal RNA", at positions 780 to 1187 of the family's 1831-position model. Lineage: Eukaryota; Fungi; Glomeromycota; Glomeromycetes; Glomerales; Glomeraceae. The record is from RNAcentral.